AAAGCAAUAUUGCAAUUUAACUGUGUAACAUAUGUGUGUGUAUGUAUAUUUAAGUUUAUCUGUGAAUGUACUUACAUUGGGAUCUGUGUAAUAAUGUGUUUAUAUUAACAUACAUAUCUCUAAACAUAUGUAUGUGUGUUUGUAUUUGUGAUUACUUACAUCGAUAUCAGAUUAAGCCAAAGUGCAAUCGACCAUCAACAAUUGCAAACGCUAUAAUAAUAAUAAUAAUAAUAACAAAAACAAAAACAAUAGCGACUCUACACUAAAUUCCAAACACCAGCAAUAACAACCACAGAAGCAGCAACAUUAAAGCCAAGAUCAACUCGUGUACAUAUAUCAAACGGUAUUGUUUUCAUUGCGAUAAUAAGUUAUAUAUAUUUUUGGGGACGUACGUCUUCACGUACGUACGCAGCAUUGAGUCGACAGACAAGCACGCCAACCGAAAAACAUACAUCAAUGACAGUAGCGCUGCAGAGACUAUUCAUUUGAUUGCGUACUGCCACAAACGGUCUCCAAGCUUUUUGGUUGGCUAUUAGCUGUUGGCUUUGGUGGGUGCGUUAUUGCUGCUAAGAUUUUGCUUCACUUUUGCUUUUAUUUCCCGUUGAUAUUUAAUAUGGAUCGUGCUAGUGUUAUAAUGCAAGCAUUUAAUUCCUCAACAUGAUACAGUUUAAGAUAAUUGCCAAUGAAAGAAAGAGAAAAAACAAAAAAAAACCUAAAAUACGAACCACUACCUAUACUGAUGCCAUUUUGCUCCUUUCUUCCCCGACUAACGAAAU
Molecule: long non-coding RNA, 776 nt
Organism: Glossina fuscipes
Lineage: Eukaryota; Metazoa; Arthropoda; Insecta; Diptera; Glossinidae
Exons: 4
Source: RefSeq, a predicted model, not a curated record